Molecule: ribosomal RNA, 255 nt
Filed under: uncultured bacterium
Lineage: Bacteria
Description: partial 16S ribosomal RNA
Rfam family: Bacterial small subunit ribosomal RNA
Source: RNAcentral
GCAAGUCGAACGAGAACGGGUCUAAGCUUGCUUUAAUUGUCAGCUAAGUGGCGCACGGGUGAGUAAUAUAUAGGUAACGUGCCUUCAAGAAGGGGAUAACAAUUGGAAACGAUUGCUAAUACCCUAUAUGCCUUUAAGACUUAAGUCUGCAAGGGAAACAUUUAUGGCUCUAGGAUGGGACUGUACGGUAUCAGUUAGUUGGUGAGGUAAUGGCUCACCAAGACAAUGACACCUAACUGGUUUGAGAGGAUGAUC